This 253-nucleotide ribosomal RNA is filed under the name uncultured bacterium. RNAcentral's name for it is "partial 16S ribosomal RNA". It matches the Rfam family "Bacterial small subunit ribosomal RNA", at positions 524 to 776 of the family's 1533-position model. The record is from RNAcentral.
UACGAAGGACCCAAGCGUUAUCCGGAUUUAUUGGGUUUAAAGGGUGCGUAGGCGGAUUAGUAAGUCAGUGGUGAAAGCCCGUCGCUUAACGGCGGAACUGCCAUUGAUACUGCUAGUCUUGAGUAUGGUUGAGGUGGGCGGAAUGUGUCAUGUAGCGGUGAAAUGCUUAGAUAUGACACAGAACACCAAUUGCGAAGGCAGCUCGCUAAGCCAUAACUGACGCUGAGGCACGAAAGCGUGGGGAGCAAACAGG